ACUAUGAGUAGUCAGACCAUGAGGAAGAAGACAUAGAAGAACCAGUGCCAGAAAACAAAUUGACAGACAAUCUGGCAGAAGGGUUCUGACUGUUCAAGACUGCUUUUGACUACUUCUGACACAGACCCUUCUAUGAAACAAGCACUGAAACUAAAGCAAACAAUGGAAGAAGGAUUGGUACAAUACAGAAACAUUGUUAGAGAAAUGAAAAAGAAAUAAACAAAUUAUGAUGUAUUUCCAUAAAGUUACACCAAGUAUGCCUACCUCUCUCUUGCCUCUCCUUCAACCUCCUUCAUGUAUUCUGCCUCUGCCACCCCAAGACAGCAAUACCCACCCCUCCUCUUCCUCCUUCUCAGCCUACUCAACACAAAGACAACACGGAUGAAGACCUUUAUGAUAAUUCACUUUCAUUUAAUGACAUGUAGGACAUGCCUGCUUCCUCUUUGCCUUCCACCAUGAUUAUAAGUUUCCUGAGGCCUCCCCAGCCAUGCUUCCUGUACAGCCUGCAGAACU
This 513-nucleotide long non-coding RNA is filed under the name Homo sapiens (human). RNAcentral describes it as "HSALNT0302917". Lineage: Eukaryota; Metazoa; Chordata; Mammalia; Primates; Hominidae. The record is from RNAcentral.